Molecule: RNase P RNA, 379 nt
Filed under: Massilibacterium senegalense
Lineage: Bacteria; Bacillati; Bacillota; Bacilli; Caryophanales; Bacillaceae
Description: Bacterial RNase P class B
Rfam family: Bacterial RNase P class B
About the family: Ribonuclease P (RNase P) is a ubiquitous endoribonuclease, found in archaea, bacteria and eukarya as well as chloroplasts and mitochondria.
Source: RNAcentral
UUGGACAAUCGCGGUAUGUUACAAUGCUGAGGAAAGUCCAUGCUCGCACGGUCUGCGAUGACCGUAGUGUUUCGUGCCUAGUGAAACAAUAAGCUAGGGUCAUGCGUAUUGUAUGAACGGCAAGGAAAACGAUCUACGUCCGUAAUGGAUAUGACGGAGUACCUUUGAAAGUGCCACAGUGACGAAGCUUUGUUGGAAACAACAAAGGUGGAACGCGGUAAACCCCACGAGCGAGAAACCCAAAUUAUGGUAGGGGAACCUUCUUGACGGAAAUGAACGAAAAGAGAGGGCCAAGAUUUUUCUUGGAGAUAGAUGAUUGUCGCCGGAGUACGAGGGUGAUGCCCGUUUGCAGUACGAUGGUACAGAACAUGGCUUACAA